RNAcentral lists this ribosomal RNA (253 nucleotides) under uncultured bacterium. RNAcentral describes it as "partial 16S ribosomal RNA". It matches the Rfam family "Bacterial small subunit ribosomal RNA", at positions 524 to 776 of the family's 1533-position model. The record is from RNAcentral.
UACGGGGGGUGCGAGCGUUGUCCGGAAUCACUGGGCGUAAAGCGCACGUAGGCGGACUGUUAAGUCGGGGGUGAAAUCCUGGGGCUCAACCUCAGAAUUGCCUCCGAUACUGGCAGUCUCGAGUGCGGGAGAGGUGAGUGGAAUUCCCAGUGUAGAGGUGAAAUUCGUAGAUAUUGGGAAGAACACCAGUGGCGAAGGCGGCUCACUGGCCCGUAACUGACGCUGAGGUGCGAAAGCGUGGGGAGCAAACAGG